AUUCUCCCUUAAAAUAUUGUCUAUACUAUUAAUCUGUAAGCAAAUGCUUUAUUUCAUAGAGAGUUAGAAAGGUAAGUUUCAGGUCAGCUCACAUCUGAAUUAUGAUGGAUUCCAAAUUAGCAAAAUUCAAAUUAAUGAUGUUUUGCUGUACUGGUCUGGUUUUUGCUUUUUCUUUUCUUUUUCCCUGGACAGAGUACAGAUGCAGUGCUCUGGAUUCUAAUCCUUUGUCUUAUAUCUCAAUGCACAUUUGUUCUUCUCUUAGAUAUUUAAAUACAUAGGACUUCAUCAUUUUCAAGGUGAUUAAUAUGCAUUUUUUAUUUGUCCACAAAUGACCACUCUCUUCUCUCUCCUAGUUAUCAGGUUGUUAUGAAAAUGCAAGGUAGUAUUUCAGCAGAUGGCUAAAUUUAAUUUUUUUUCUUUUUACAGUUUCACAGAAAAAAAAGUGUUAAGAAUUGUUCUUAACCGCUUCAGACUCCAGAGCGCGAAGGUCUGUUGCAGAUGUUCGGACAUCAAGUCUAGACAAUUCAGCUGUGCCCUUGAGUUAAUGGUGUUUAUGGUAUGUUUUCCUUUUUUAAUUUUCCCAUCUUGCCUGCCUUUGAUCUGUUUCCAAUUCACAGAACCAAUAAAGAGAUAACUUUUUCUUCCUCAUUCUGGUAGAAAGAUAUCUCCUUAAACACUUAAAGGGCAAGUCUAGCAUAAUCACUCACAGUAAUAACGUCAGGUAUCAAGUUUUAGAAUCUUCUUUGCAGUUAUAUUUCCAUUAUUUUUCUUGGAUUUCCUGUACAGCUAAAACCCAGGAGUUUUUGUUCCUUGUACAAUUUGAUCUAUAAGAUCUUGGCUCCAUGGGUGACCAAGAACCACUGCAAUAUUUUAGAAGCAUAACAACAUGACAGUGAUGCUCAGUUUUCUAAACAGUAAGUGCAGAGCAGAAUGCUGGCUCAUGAACCUGACCCCAAAGCUUUGGACAUUACUUUCUCUGCAGUGGGGGGCCAUGAAGGACCAUAUCAAAGCAUCCUGGUGGGAGGAUCAGGGAAUUGUAUGAGAGCAUGCCCCUAUACAGAAAACUGUGUGCUGAUAUAGGGAAAAGAGAUUCAAGGCAAACAUAGUGGUCCAUCUCAGUACCUCUCACUCACUCUUUUCUCAUUCAGUCCUCUUAUUACAGAAUAAGUAAUGCACAGCUCACCACAGUGGUUGAUUCUCCUAUGAUAUCCUAAUACUUUCUAUACCAAAGUGGCUGGUGUCCCAUUCACCAUUCUUCACGCUACACAAGCAGUGCUAUUAGGUCGGGCCACCUUUAAAUGGACCUUCAGAAUUGCGAUUAAUUAUUUUCUUCCCAAAGUUGCUUCCUCAGCAGUAAAAUGCUCAGAGGAAACUUUCUUAUAAAAAUGGAAGAACUGGUAUUCAACCUUAGAACAAGACAUAUUUGAACUGCAUUAUUUUCCUUAGAUGGUAAUUGCCUACAAUCCGCAUCAUAGAUUCUAGUGUUAGACUCUAAUGUUUACAAUGUUUUUCUCACAACAAUUUUCUCAAGACUCAGUUCAGGUGCCACUUCCUUUAGGAAGCCUUAAUUCUCCCAGGUGUUCAUGCUAUGUCCAUCUUCAGAUUAUCUCAUAUUACUUUGCUGUGUCUGUUCUGUUCUAGGAGAGUGUAAGCUCCCUGAGGGCACAGUGCCUUGUAUGUAGUCGAUAUUUAAUAAAUGACUAUUGAAUCUAGUUGUUGUUGGAGUG
Molecule: long non-coding RNA, 1727 nt
Organism: Phascolarctos cinereus (koala)
Lineage: Eukaryota; Metazoa; Chordata; Mammalia; Diprotodontia; Phascolarctidae
Source: Ensembl